AAAGAUGGAUCGGAAUGAUGAGAGAAUAAAAAGAGCUUUAAGACGCCGCCCUUAUGUGUUGAAACCAGUGAGGGUGAACAGCCCUGAUUCCGUGUUGUGGCCAACCGGCAAGGUGCACAGAAGGCCAAAGCCUUCUACUUCAGUGCAGACCCCUCAGAUCCACAAAAGGCCUCCAAUCAUUGUGAGCUAUGGGCAGGACCAAACAUCUGGGGAUGGAUGGAGCGUCAAUCCAGAGCCUCUCAGCCAG
Molecule: long non-coding RNA, 247 nt
Organism: Salvelinus fontinalis (brook trout)
Lineage: Eukaryota; Metazoa; Chordata; Actinopteri; Salmoniformes; Salmonidae
Exons: 4
Source: RefSeq, a predicted model, not a curated record